GUCACAGCCCGUCCCGGAAUUAUUAAUUCCGAGGACGUGAGAUGACCAAUGUGACCUUAAACGGGAUUAAGGUGUGUAAAUGUAUGACAUUUGUUUUACUUUAAGAUCCUAAACUAGGGUUAGAUUUAUAUUUGUAUGUGUUAAUUUGUGCUUGGACUUAGGUAGGACCUCCUACCCUGAAUUCCCUCCCUAAAACCCGUAACCUUUCUUCUCUCUUCUUCUUUCAUUCCAUACUCUCUCUCUCUCUUAUUCUUUUCUGAAAACUCUCUCAUUCUCUCUCUUACUCUCGAACUCACGGCAACCACCAAGAACCACCACAAUAUUGUACCAACGUUCCAUUUAAGACCACCAUCGUGAUCCUGGGGACUUCACGAGCACGGGGAUACCAAUUUCAGGUGAGUUUCACUUCGAAAACCCUAGUUCUAAAGUUGCCGUGAGAUGACACUGUUCAUGAGCUUUGAAUUGGUUACGUUUUAGGCUAAAACAAGAUCACAGCGAGUUUAGUAAGGUCCCAAGGAAGCUCGGAGUGCUUCGUUGGAAGUUUUUGGACGUAAGAACACGGAGAUCGACAAGUUCAAAGUUUGGCCGGAGCUUUCGAGGCGUUUUCCGGCGAAUCCCCGGCGAGUUAGGAGUCGAGGUAGGUAUCAAUCUCUUCGUCUCGUCAAGUAAUACAACUUUACUUUUUGUUUCACUCAAUUUCGUUGAGUAUUGAAGAAGUUAUACUCAUUUGAAAAAUACCCAGUUUCCGGCGACCUCCGAGGCUUUCGAGGCAGUUUCCGGCCAAACCACGGCGAACUAGGUGUUGUGCAAGGUACCAUUCUCUUUUU
This 827-nucleotide long non-coding RNA is filed under the name Malus domestica (apple). Its description in RNAcentral is "long non-coding RNA (MDOM_LNC007841)". Lineage: Eukaryota; Viridiplantae; Streptophyta; Magnoliopsida; Rosales; Rosaceae. The record is from RNAcentral.